UUGGGAAUCUUGCACAAUGGGGGAAACCCUGAUGCAGCGACGCCGCGUGGAGGAUGAAGGGUCUAGGCUCGUAAACUCCUUUUUCAGGGAAAGACUUAGGACGGUACCCUGAGAAUAAGCUCCGGCUAACUACGUGCCAGCAGCCGCGGUAAGACGUAGGGAGCGAGCGUUGUCCGGAUUUACUGGGCGUAAAGAGCACGUAGGCGGUCUGUUAAGUGAGAAGUGAAAUCUCCAGCGCUCAACGCGGAAA
Molecule: ribosomal RNA, 250 nt
Filed under: uncultured bacterium
Lineage: Bacteria
Description: partial 16S ribosomal RNA
Rfam family: Bacterial small subunit ribosomal RNA
Source: RNAcentral